RNAcentral lists this ribosomal RNA (370 nucleotides) under uncultured organism. RNAcentral's name for it is "partial 16S ribosomal RNA". It matches the Rfam family "Bacterial small subunit ribosomal RNA", at positions 527 to 896 of the family's 1533-position model. The record is from RNAcentral.
GUAGGUGGCAAGCGUUGACCGGAAUUAUUGGGCGUAAAGCGCGCGCAGGCGGUUCUUUAAGUCUGAUGUGAAAGCCCACGGCUCAACCGUGGAGGGUCAUUGGAAACUGGAGAACUUGAGUACAGAAGAGGAAAGCGGAAUUCCACGUGUAGCGGUGAAAUGCGUAGAGAUGUGGAGGAACACCAGUGGCGAAGGCGGCUUUCUGGUCUGUAACUGACGCUGAGGCGCGAAAGCGUGGGGAGCAAACAGGAUUAGAUACCAUGGUAGUCCACGCCGUAAACGAUGAGUGCUAAGUGUUAGGGGGUUUCCGCCCCUUAGUGCUGCAGCUAACGCAUUAAGCACUCCGCCUGGGAGUACGGCCGCAAGGCUG